Molecule: ribosomal RNA, 445 nt
Filed under: uncultured bacterium
Lineage: Bacteria
Description: bacterial SSU rRNA
Rfam family: Bacterial small subunit ribosomal RNA
Source: RNAcentral
CCAGACUCCUACGGGAGGCAGCAGUGGGGAAUAUUGCACAAUGGGGGAAACCCUGAUGCAGCAACGCCGCGUGAGUGAAGAAGCGUUUCGGCGCGUAAAGCUCUAUCAGCGGGGAAGAAAGAAGACGGUACCCGACCAAGAAGCCCCGGCUAACUACGUGCCAGCAGCCGCGGUAAUACGUAGGGGGCGAGCGUUAUCCGGAAUUACUGGGUGUAAAGGGGGCGCAGACGGCGAUGCAAGCCAGGAGUGAAAGCCCGGGGCCCAACCCCGGGACUGCUCUUGGAACUGCGUGGCUGGAGUGCAGGAGGGGCAGGCGGAAUUCCUGGUGUAGCGGUGAAAUGCGUAGAUAUCAGGAGGAACAUCGGUGGCGUAAGCGCUUUACUGGGCCGUAAUUGACGCUGAGGAACGAAAGCCAGGGUAGCAAAUGGGAUUAGAUCCCCGAGUA